GACGAACGCUGGCGGCGUGCUUAAUACAUGCAAGUCGAACGGAAAGGCUCUGCUUUUGUGGGGUGCUCGAGUGGCGAGCGGGUGAGUAAUACGUGAGUAACCUGCCCUUGACUUUGGGAUAACUCCAGGAAAAUGGGGCUAAAAACGGAUAGGAGAAUCUGCUGCAUGGUGGGGGUUGGUAAGUUUGGGCGGCAGGGGAUGGUCUCGCGGCUUAUCAGUUUGUUGGUGGGGUAGUGGCUUACCAAGGCUUUGACGGGUAGCCGGCCUGAAAGGGUGACCGGCCAAAUGGGGAGUGAGAUACGGCCGAGACUCCUAGGGGAGGCAGCAGUGGGGAAGAUUGCACGAUGGGGCGAAGCCUGGUGCAGCAAGGCCGCGUGCGGGAUGACGGCCUUCGGGGUGAAAGACGAUUUCUCCUGUGACGAAACGUAAGUGACGGUAAUUGGUAAGAAAGCAACGGCUAACUACGUG
RNAcentral lists this ribosomal RNA (468 nucleotides) under uncultured bacterium. RNAcentral's name for it is "partial 16S ribosomal RNA". It matches the Rfam family "Bacterial small subunit ribosomal RNA", at positions 28 to 507 of the family's 1533-position model. The record is from RNAcentral.